AGGAUAAUAGCUCAGUGGUAGAGCAUGUGCCUAGCAUGCACAAGGUCAAGGUCAUGGGUUCUAUACCCAUAAUUUCUA
This 78-nucleotide transfer RNA is filed under the name Camelus bactrianus (Bactrian camel). It matches the Rfam family "tRNA". From Rfam's summary of the family: Transfer RNA (tRNA) molecules are approximately 80 nucleotides in length. Their secondary structure includes four short double-helical elements and three loops (D, anti-codon, and T loops). Lineage: Eukaryota; Metazoa; Chordata; Mammalia; Artiodactyla; Camelidae. RNAcentral also lists the same sequence under 2 other names. The record is from Rfam by way of RNAcentral.